Molecule: long non-coding RNA, 952 nt
Filed under: Homo sapiens (human)
Lineage: Eukaryota; Metazoa; Chordata; Mammalia; Primates; Hominidae
Description: long intergenic non-protein coding RNA 511
Source: RNAcentral
GGCGCGGGUGCGCGGUGCGGCGCUGGUAUCCAGAGGACGCGGUCACCGCCUCUGGCAUUUGUCGUUCUGCGCUUCUCCGCAAGGACCCUCUGUUAGGCAGGCGCCCACCGUAAGCCUCCCGGGCCUUGUGAACCUGCAAACCCAAGUCUGAGAGACGAUCCGCCUUCAGCGCUUUCCAGCUUGGCAGAGAGGCUUUCCCGGCGGGGAUCUUUGGUUGGCGCUGGCGAUGCGCGGGGAAGAAAGGCGAGGAGCGGCGUCCAGGCUGGGUGAUGUCCCAGCACGAGUAGGCGGGAUGCGCUCGCUUGGUCCUCCGGGCGCCCGGUCCCUGCCCGCGUCGCGCGCCCACCCCUGGGGACGAGAAGGCGGCCGCCUGAGGACCCCCGCCCGCGACCUCCGCGAGUCUGGAGCGCAGAGGACAGGGUCUGGCUGCUCUUUGGCCUUGGAUGGAAAGUGGGGAAUUGGGUGGGGGGCUGCGGACCCCUUAACGUGGAUUACUUGGUGUGUAUCAGCUGGGCUCAGAAGACCCACGACCUCUUCUCCAUCCGUGGAUUGAUUUGUUCUGCUUAACAGCUGGGUCGCCAAGCUGGAGGUAUUUUUCCCUCUCCACCCUGGUCUUCUCCUGUAACGUGUGGCCGCCUUUUCCAGCACGGCCUCCUGCCUUCCUGGUGCACUUUUUGGAGAACGUGGUGGAAUCAGAGGUUUCUGGCUGACUCGGUGGGUGCUUUGAACCAGGAAAGGACAAGAAAGAGGAACUCUGAAAGCCACAUGUUGAGAUGGCCCCAUUACAGGAUGGAGAGCACCUGAACCCCCAAGUUAUGGACUAGAAGAAGACAGUUGCCCUGGAAAAUCAUCUGACCCACAUUGGACUUUAUGUGAGGGGGAAAUAAACCUUUAUUAUGUUAAGCUACACAAUAAUAAAUAACAACAAUAAUUGUGUUUAUUUGUUACCUCA